RNAcentral lists this ribosomal RNA (434 nucleotides) under uncultured Oscillospiraceae bacterium. RNAcentral's name for it is "bacterial SSU rRNA". It matches the Rfam family "Bacterial small subunit ribosomal RNA", at positions 341 to 792 of the family's 1533-position model. The record is from RNAcentral. Lineage: Bacteria; Bacillati; Bacillota; Clostridia; Eubacteriales; Oscillospiraceae.
ACGGGAGGCAGCAGUGGGGAAUAUUGGGCAAUGGGCGCAAGCCUGACCCAGCAAUGCCGCGUGAAGGAAGAAGGCUUUCGGGUUGUAAACUUCUUUUAAGUGGGACGAUAAUGACGGUACCACUUGAAUAAGCUCCGGCUAACUACGUGCCAGCAGCCGCGGUAAUACGUAGGGAGCAAGCGUUGUCCGGAUUUAUUGGGUGUAAAGGGUGCGUAGACGGGAAAUUAAGUUAGUUGUGAAAUCCCUCGGCUCAACUGAGGAACUGCAACUAAAACUGGUUUUCUUGAGUGCAGGAGAGGAAAGUGGAAUUCCUAGUGUAGCGGUGAAAUGCGUAGAUAUUAGGAGGAACACCAGUGGCGAAGGCGACUUUCUGGACUGUAACUGACGUUGAGGCACGAAAGUGUGGGGAGCAAACAGGAUUAGAUACCCUGGUA